GACGAACGCUGGCGGCGUGCCUAAUCCAUGCAAGUCGAGCGGCGCGGCAGACGGGUACGUAAUGACUAGGAAUCUGCCUGGUCGUGGGGGAUAACGUCCGGCAACGGGCGCUAAUACCGCAUACUAUCAGAUUAGCCUAGGUCGGAUUAGCUUGUUGGUGGGGUAAAGGCCUACCAAGGCGACGACCCGUAACUGGUCUGAGAGGAUGAUCAGUCACACGGGAAAUGAGACACGGUCCAGAUUCCUACGGGAGGCAUCAGUGGGGAAUAUUGGACAAUGGGCGAAAGCCUGAUCCAGCCAUGCCGCGUGUGUGAAGAAGGUCUUCGGAUUGUAAAGCACUUUAAGUUGGGAGGCGUUACCAACAGAAUAAGCACCGGCUAACUUCGUGCCAGCAGCCGCGGUAAUUC
This 407-nucleotide ribosomal RNA is filed under the name uncultured bacterium. RNAcentral describes it as "partial 16S ribosomal RNA". It matches the Rfam family "Bacterial small subunit ribosomal RNA", at positions 28 to 526 of the family's 1533-position model. The record is from RNAcentral.